UGGAGGGUGGGAUGUGGCAGGGAGGAAGGCAGAUGGCGUCCUGUUCAAAAGAGAGAAGGUUGUAACAAGGGGCUCUGGCUCUGUUGGCUGAUGUGUUGGUGAGGCUCAGUGCAGUGUCACCAACGCUUGUCUUCGAGACAUUUUGUGUGAAUUUGACUGCCACUGGGGUUUGCUGGGCAGCAGCAGGAAUUGGAUCUGGUGAGAAGCUCUGCUCUGCUGCAAUGGGGGCUUCAUGUGCUUUGUAUUUAGUGACAGGAUGAGAGGUGAUGGCUUCAAGUUGCACCAGAGGAUGGUCGGGUUGGAUAGUAGGAGCAAUUUAUGUUCAGAAGGAGUGGUGAUGUACUGGCUCUGCUACCCAGGGAGAGGCGGGGUAACCUUGUCUGGAGGUGUUCCAGAACUGCAGAGAUGUGGCACCGAGGGCCAUAGUUGGGGGUCUUGGACUGGGGUUGGAUUCGGUGAUCCCAGAGUUCUUUUCCAACCUCAGUGGUUCUAUGAUUCUGUUCUUUAUGCAGUUCCAAAUGAAAAUCGUUUCCCGUAAGAUUGCAGGAUUCCAGGGUUCAAGCCAUUCAAUCACAGGUGUCUUGAAUGGCUGAUGUCUCUGUGUGGGAGCAAGCUGCUUGUACUGAUGAGUCAGUUUCUGAUGGCCCUGACUAGAAGAAAUGAAGUCUUACGGGAGAUGGAAGAAUACUGGAAUGGAGGCAGGCAAUGGUAGACUGCUGAGAUGUGGACCCAUAACACCUCUUCACCUGCAGCAUCACAGUAAAAAUGAGUCUUUUGCUACCCUCAGGGAUGCUGUUGCCUGGAGGCACAGAGCUUGGAUACUGCCCACUGAUGUUCCCAGGCAUAUCUGUUGAAGUAUCUGUUGCUAUUUGACCGUGGAGAGUUUCAGGGGAGUGAGCAAACCUUUUUUUCCAAGCUGUUUGCAAGCCAAGAGCAUUCUGGAAAGAUUUGCCCAUUCCUGUCUCACUGUGCUGGCUUUGCAGAGGCCAUCUUGGUGUGUGGGAAUGAUCCCUUGGUACACACAGUGGAAAAGAAGCAGUUCUUCCUGUGAGUCUCCCUCUGCUUUCCUCUGCUGCUCAUUAUUUUUUGGAUGCUUGCAUAUCUUUCCAUCCGUCCAUCCUUUUGUCCAUCCAUCAGUCCAUCCACCAAUUCAUUAGUCCGUCCAUUCAUCCGUCUGCCAGUCCACUUGUCCAUCCAUCCAUUCAUCUGUCCAUCCAUCCACCUCUCCAUCCAUCUGUCUGUCCGUCCAUCUGUCCAACACCUGUCCAUUUGUCCGUCCAGCUGUCCCUCUGUCCAUCCAUCCAUCCCCACCCAUCCGUCCAUUCAUUCGUCUCUCCAUCCACAUAUCCAUCCUUUCAUCCCUUUGUCCAUCUGUCCGUCCAUCCGUCCAUCUAUCCAUCCAUCCGCACAGGCUGCCAGCGCUGGGAAGGGCUCCACGGGCCUGCCAAGGCCAGAUGGUGUUUGUGAGGAGCUCCAGGUCCCAGCUGAGCGCUGCCCGGCGAGAUGCACGCAGGAGCUGCCGGGCAGCCGGCUCUGCCAAACCCUCGGCAUAUGCUGCGCCCAGCCCUACACCUGCUGAUGGGCAGCCGCUGCGCGCUGCCGGCGUAAAGCAAGGAGGAAAAGCACAGCCCCAUCUGGAAGGAAUUUAACGGAUAAACAGCAGCGGUGAAACCCCCAAAAAUUAAAAAAAAAAAAAAGUGUAAAAUUGAAGAAUGUGCAGAGGGAGUCGGAAACGGCGGGGGGAGACGCCAAGAUGCUGGGCUGAGAUGGCCAAGGAAUGCCCACGUUUGCACCAGCACCCCAGUUUUCACCAGGACCCCCAUUUGCCCGUGCACAGCCCCACCACCCCAGCUAAAUGUGCUGAGAAUUGCUGGGGGAUAUUUGGAGAAAACCCCAAAUGACCGCGAGCAAAAUUGAUGGGGGAAUAGACUUCCUGCCUACUUUGUAUUUACUUUAAAACCGUGCGCACUCCAGGCUCGAGCCUGUAAUUUAUUGAAAGGAACCAGACUGGAAACCAGAUUCACACUGUGAGUAAUUUCUAACAUCAUUGCCAUCUAUCACCGGGAGACAGGGCACUUUGUUUCUCUGAAAAAUUAUUUUUGUAGUUGGCUUAGUAACAACAACAAUUAUUAUUAUUAAUAUUAAUAAUUACUUGUGUAAGGCCUUUCAUGUGCUGUUUAGAAAGGGUUCUGCACACGGGACAGUUGUGUUGGCUGCGCCUCUUGGGAAGGGAAACCAAGACACAGACUUGGCCCCUGCCUUGCUCAGGGGGGCAGAAUCCUUUUCUGCUACGUUCGCUGUGCUGGAUGGGUAAGACUUUUGUUCUGCCAGUCCUGGAGCUUUGUUCUUGCUGAGAGCAGAGGCACAUCAGCAGCUCCAGUGAUGAGCUGUGCCUCCUGGCAGGCCCAGAAGUGUGGUACAGCGUGAGUUUUCCCCUCUGCUGUUCUCCAGGCUGCAUCUCUACAGCACGUCCAACCCAGCGUUGGGAAGCCUCUUAGAGCCCAGCGUUGCCCUUCGCAGUGGGUAUCUCCCAGCAUCACCAUCGAUGUGCUGCUCUCCUUAACAAAGGGCCAACUCUAACGCAGCAUCUACAUCUGACCAGGCUUUGCUGUUGAGGUGGAGGAAGCUCAGAAACACUGAGCUUCUGCCAUUGCUCUUCUUCCUCCCUUCCCUCUUCUGAGCCCCUCUCCAGGCCCCAUCCACCUGCCAGCAUCCCUAGAGGCCAAGCUGAGCAUCACUCCAUGGACCUGACCCCACUGCCAGCCCGUGCUGCCAUUCAGACUGCUGAAGUCAAAUUAGGGUCAGAUUUUGGGUAGUUCUGUCUGGAGCCAGGAGUUGGGUUCAGUGCUGCUUAUGGAUUCCUUCCAACUCAGGAUAUUCUGUGAUUUAAUGAUUCAAGCUGUCCACACCAUGACAUUACAUAAAGGGCUCAGAGGAGGGCUAGGAUCCACAAGGCCAUGCAGAAGAUGGGAUCCUCUGUGGCUUUUCUUCCCAGGGAAGGCUUUCGGGAGAGUUCUGCACCCUCUGAAGUGGGGAACAGCACAAUCACCUCCUCAGAGAACUGCACAAGGAGCAACGGUCGUUUUCCAGUUAAGCUAUGGGCUGUGCUAAGGCAGACGGGGAAAGAGAUUCAGCGUUGACAGGGGUUGCUCCGAAUGUAACAGGAUCCCGCGGCAGAUGUAAAUCAGACUGCAGGCAUUUGCCUCGUGUUUCCGGAAGGAGGGACAGGCUGCGGUCACCUGAGGAAGCAGCAGGCAACCUCCGUGCAUUGGGGUGGCACAGCUCAGAUGGGUGAAAGCAAACGUGGGGAGCCUGGAGCAGGGAGCAGAGCCGGUGGGUGUCCUCGCGGAGCCGUGAGCGUCGGGGAGCAAAAGACAACACGAGAGCAGCCGCGAGGCUCGCAGCGCUGCCUGCCCGCUGUAAGGCCCGGCAC
This is a long non-coding RNA of Tympanuchus pallidicinctus (lesser prairie-chicken), 3433 nucleotides long. RefSeq lists it as uncharacterized. The transcript has 5 exons. NCBI's taxonomy places the organism in Eukaryota, Metazoa, Chordata, Aves, Galliformes, Phasianidae. The record is from RefSeq and is a predicted model, not a curated record.